This 497-nucleotide ribosomal RNA is filed under the name Ara macao (Scarlet macaw). RNAcentral describes it as "partial 16S large subunit ribosomal RNA". The record is from RNAcentral. Lineage: Eukaryota; Metazoa; Chordata; Aves; Psittaciformes; Psittacidae.
CCUGCAAAACGAAUCUAAGUUCCCCCUUAACCCUCUUUUUCCUCCCCAGACAAACCCAACCCAAAUGUGAUAGUUAAGGGCUAUUUAAAGGGGGUACAGCCCCUUUAAAAAAGGACACAACCUCCACCAGCGGAUAGCCCCUGUACGCCCAACCCCGUGGGCCUUAAAGCAGCCACCCCCAAAGAUUGCGUCAAAGCUCCAUCAACCAAAAACCCCCAAAACCAAUGCGACUCCCUACACCCACAGCAGGCCAACCUAUAACAAUAGAUGAAUCAAUGCUAGAACGAGUAACCAGGACACUAUGUCCCCCCAAGCGCCAGCCUGUACACCAUUAACAGUAAAACCUCAAUAAUAACCACCCCCACCAUUGAACCCACCCUGUCAACCCAACUCAGGGGCGCACACUGGAGUGAUCAAAAUCUACAAAAGGAACUCGGCAAACCUAAGACCCGACUGUUUACCAAAAACAUAGCCUUCAGCCAAACAAGUAUUGAAGG